AAACUUUGCGUACAACAAAUUUAAUGAUGGUGGACAACAUUGUUUGCUGAUAUUUGUAGAUAUAUUUUGACUGCUACCAUCUUAAAUAUUGAAUUUUAUUUUCCACGAGGCGCUGCGGCAUGUUCGUUAAAAGCUGGAAUAUUUCAUUAAAUGAAAAUUAAAAGGGCGAAAAUGUCAGAAAUUUUGAAGAACGAUCGCUUUAAAUUUAUCAGGCGAUUAAAUGAGUUACACAUCAGAGGAAAAUAUAGGAGUUUCUUUACUUUAGCUUCCGUCAAUGCGUUGGCCAUUCCGCAAUCACGGUGAAUGCAAAAAUACGGAGGAAACAAGAUCGAAACAACUCAUAAAUAUCAAUGACAGCGUUGCUAGUUGGACAUUCCAUUCACACAACGACAUUUGAAUAAAAAGGGGGAGUUAUUUUAUAAACAUUCAAGUAACGAUUGCGGGUUAGAGGUGACUAAAGCUAGAGUAGCUCCGCAGCAGGCUGGUGUUUAUAUCGGAACGGCCCUGAAUUUUACCUGGCUAAAGACCACACUGUUGUCAACGUUCAAUGUCCAGGUACAAGCGUAUUUAAUAAAAAAAAGGAUUCUCAACUAUCUAGCUGAUGUGAAUAGUCUUCCGUGGUUAAUACAAAUUGUGUAUUAAGUACAAAUUAAUGAAUUGUUUUCAGUUGUGUUCUCAACAUAUAUAUGUAAUAUCUGUGUGUGCGAAUAAUUUAAAAUUU
Long non-coding RNA from Ceratitis capitata (Mediterranean fruit fly), 721 nucleotides. RefSeq lists it as uncharacterized. The transcript has 3 exons. The record is from RefSeq and is a predicted model, not a curated record. Lineage: Eukaryota; Metazoa; Arthropoda; Insecta; Diptera; Tephritidae.